This 253-nucleotide ribosomal RNA is filed under the name uncultured bacterium. Its description in RNAcentral is "partial 16S ribosomal RNA". It matches the Rfam family "Bacterial small subunit ribosomal RNA", at positions 524 to 776 of the family's 1533-position model. The record is from RNAcentral.
UACGUAGGGUGCGAGCGUUGUCCGGAUUUAUUGGGCGUAAAGGGCUCGUAGGCGGCCUGUCGCGUCGGGAGUGAAAGCCCACUGCUUAACGGUGGGUCUGCUUCCGGUACGGGCGGGCUGGAGUGCAGAAGGGGCAACUGGAAUUCUCGGUGUAGCGGUGAAAUGCGUAGAUAUCGAGAGGAACACCUGCGGCGAAGGCGGGUUGCUGGGCUGACACUGACGCUGAAGCGCGAAAGCCAGGGGAGCGAACGGG